CUCGCGAAUAACUAGGCAGAGCCCAUAAAAAAAAAAAAAAAAAAAAAAAACAUAAAAAUAAAUAAAAAAUAAUAAAUAAUUGAUUUUUAUUACUUUUUUAUGUUAUCUUUUUUUGUGUCAUU
RNAcentral lists this non-coding RNA (122 nucleotides) under Florenciella parvula. Lineage: Eukaryota; Dictyochophyceae; Florenciellales. The record is from RNAcentral.